UCCUGCCAGCACAUAGUACCCUAAAAAUAACAGUAAUAUGAAUAUUGAGUACUCCUGCCCUGAGAGCAGUGCAUAGUUUAGUAAAAUAACGGUAAUAUGAAUAUUGAGUACUCCUGCCCGGAGAGCAGCACAUAAUUUAGUAAAAUAACAGUAAUAUGAAUAUUGAGUACUUCUGCCCUGAGAGCAGCGCAUAGUUGAGUAAAAUAACAGUAAUAUGAAGAUUGAGUACUCCUGCCCUGAGAGCAGCGCAUAGUUUAGUAAAAUAACAGUAAUAUGAAUAUUGAGUGCUCCUGCCCUGAGAGCAGUGCGUAGUUUAUUAAAAUAAGAGUAAUAUGAAUAUUGAGUACUCCUGCCCUGAGAGCAGCACAUAGUUUAGUAAAAUAACAGUAAUAUGAAUAUUGAGUACUCCUGCCCUGAGAGCAGCACAUAGUUUAUUAAAAUAACAGUAAUAUGAAUAUUGAGUGCUCCUGCCCUGAGAGCAGCACAUAGUUUAUUAAAAUAACAGUAAUAUGAAUAUUGAGUACUCCUGCCCUGAGAGCAGUGCAUAGUUUAGUAAAAUAACAGUUAUAUGAAUUUUGAUUACUCCUGCCAGCACAUAGUACCCUAAAAAUAACAGUAAUAUGAAUAUUGAGUACUCCUGCCCUGAGAGCAGUGCAUAGUUUAGAAAAAUAACAGUAAUAUGAAUAUUGAGUAUUCCUGCCCUGAGAGCAGCGCAUAGUAUACUAAAAAUAACAGUUAUAUGAAUAUUGAGUACUCCUGCCCUGAGAGCAGCACAUAAUAUACUAAAAAUAACAGUUAUAUGAAUAUUGAGUACUACUGCCAGCACAUAGUACCCUAAAAAUAACAGUAAUAUGAAUAUUGAGUACUCCUGCCCUGAGAGCAGUGCAUAGUUUAUAAAAAUAACAGUAAUAUGAAUAUUGAGUACUCCUGCCCUGAGAGCAGCACAUAGUUUAUUAAAAUAACAGUAAUAUGAAUAUUGAGUGCUCCUGCCCUGAGAGCAGUGCGUAGUUUAUUAAAAUAACAGUAAUAUGAAUUUUGAGUGUUCC
Cyprinus carpio carpio is the source of this 1046-nucleotide long non-coding RNA. The record is from Ensembl. NCBI's taxonomy places the organism in Eukaryota, Metazoa, Chordata, Actinopteri, Cypriniformes, Cyprinidae.